GACGAACGCUGGCGGCGUGCUUAACACAUGCCAGUCGAACGGAAAGGCCCUGCUUUUGUGGGGUGCUCGAGUGGCGAACGGGUGAGUAACACGUGAGUAACCUGCCCUUGACUUUGGGAUAACUUCAGGAAACUGGGGCUAAUACCGGAUAGGAGCUCCUGCUGCAUGGUGGGGGUUGGAAAGUUUCGGCGGUUGGGGAUGGACUCGCGGCUUAUCAGCUUGUUGGUGGGGGAGUGGCUUACCAAGGCUUUGACGGGUAGCCGGCCUGAGAGGGUGACCGGCCACAUUGGGACUGAGAUACGGCCCAGAGUCCUACGGGAGGCAGCAGUGGGGAAUAUUGCACAAUGGGCGGAAGCCUGAUGCAGCAACGCCGCGUGCGGGAUGACGGCCUUCGGGUUGUAAACCGCUUUCGCCUGUGACGAAGCGUGAGUGACGGUAAUGGGUAAAGAAGCACCGGCUAACUACGUG
RNAcentral lists this ribosomal RNA (468 nucleotides) under uncultured bacterium. Its description in RNAcentral is "partial 16S ribosomal RNA". It matches the Rfam family "Bacterial small subunit ribosomal RNA", at positions 28 to 507 of the family's 1533-position model. The record is from RNAcentral.